This 1739-nucleotide ribosomal RNA is filed under the name Herposiphonia sp. RNAcentral's name for it is "SSU rRNA". It matches the Rfam family "Eukaryotic small subunit ribosomal RNA". Lineage: Eukaryota; Rhodophyta; Florideophyceae; Ceramiales; Rhodomelaceae. The record is from RNAcentral.
UGCAGUGCCUGUAUGAGUUUUUGUACAACGAAACUGCGAAUGGGUCGGUAAAACAGCAAUAAUUUAAUCGGGGAUAUACUACCGGAUAACCGUAGUAAAGCUAGAGCUAAUACGUUGAUAGUACAAAGACGCAACUGCUUGCAGUUGUGGUGCUAAGUAUUAGGUACAACCCAAUUUUUAUAAUUGGUGAUUCAUACUUAUCGUCUGAUCACAUUUCUUUAUGUGUGUGACGCCCCGAUUAAAUUUCUGACCUAUCAACUAUGAUGGUAAGGUAGGGUCUUACCAUGGUUGUGACGGGUAACGGACCGUGGGUGCGGGAUUCCGGAGAGGGAGCCUGAGAAACGGCUACCACAUCCAAGGAAGGCAGCAGGCGCGCAACUUACCCAAUCCGAAUUUCGGGAGGUAGUGACAAUAAAUAUCAAUAGGGGGACCAAUGGUCUUCCUAAUUGGAAUGAAAGCAAUGUAAACACCUCAUUGAGGAACCAGCAGAGGGCAAGUCUGGUGCCAGCAGCCGCGGUAAUUCCAGCUCUGUAAGCGUAUACCAAAGUUGUUGCAGUUAAAACGCUCGUAGUCGAAUUUUGACGUUUAUGCUUCUUUAGACCCCUGAUGGGUGUUUGAAUGAAUGCUGCGUCUUUGUGGAUUUUGAGAUGCUUGGUGAUGCUUAAUUGUAUUGCUGCAUUUUUGCCACUGUUUACUGUGAAAAAAUUAGAGUGCUUAAAGCGAGCGAUUUGCCAUGAAUAGAUUAGCAUGGAAUAAUAGAAUAGGACCUGGUUCUGUUUCUAUUGGUUUGUCAGUUUCAGGUAAUGAUUAAGAGGGACGGUCGGGGGCAUUUGUAUUCCAGGGUUAGAGGUGAAAUUCUUANAUCCUUGGAAGACACACAGCUGCGAAAGCGUCUGCCAAGGACGUUUUCAUUGAUCAAGAACGAAAGUAGGGGGAUCGAAGACGAUCAGAUACCGUCGUAGUCUCUACUAUAAACUAUGAGGACUAGAAAUUGGACGUGGCCUAUUUUUGGUACGUUCAGCGCCUUGAGGGAAACCAAAGUGUUUGCUUUCUGGGGGGAGUAUGGUCGCAAGUCUGAAACUUAAAGGAAUUGACGGAAGGGCAUCACCGGGUGUGGAGCCUGCGGCUUAAUUUGACUCAACACGGGAAAACUUACCAGGUCCAGACAUAGUGAGGAUUGACAGAUUGAGAGCUCUUUCUUGAUUCUAUGGUUGGUGGUGCAUGGCCGUUCUUAGUUGGUGGAGUGAUCUGUCUGGUUAAUUCCGUUAACGAGCGAGACCUGGGCGUGCUAAAUAGAGUUUGUUAUUCUUUGUAAUAGCAGUUUUUUUAAGCUCUUCUUAGACGGACUGUAGGCUUUUAGUCUAUGGAAGCUCCAGGCAAUAACAGGUCUGAGAUGCCCUUAGAUGUUCUGGGCCGCACGCGUGCUACACUGAACGGUUCAAUGGGUAAGGAAGUGCGAAAGCAUUACCUAAUCUCGAAAUCCGUUCGUGCUGGGGAUAGAAGCUUGCAAUUAUCCUUCUUGAACGAGGAAUACCUUGUAGGCGCGAGUCAUCAUCUCGCGCCGAAUACGUCCCUGCCCUUUGUACACACCGCCCGUCGCUCCUACCGAUUGAGUGGUCCGGUGAGGCUUUGGGAGGGCUGGAUGGAUUGUGCUUCACAAACUGUUCGGUCUAAACUUAGUCAAACCUUACUACUUAGAGGAAGGAGAAGUCGUAACAAGGUUUCCGUAGGUGAACCUG